AACAUGGCGCAGUGGUUAGCGUGUUGGGCUCAUAACCCAGAGGUCCUAGGUUCGAGACCUUGUGUUG
This 67-nucleotide transfer RNA is filed under the name Cryptomonas paramaecium. RNAcentral describes it as "Cryptomonas paramecium tRNA". It matches the Rfam family "tRNA". Rfam says of the family: Transfer RNA (tRNA) molecules are approximately 80 nucleotides in length. Their secondary structure includes four short double-helical elements and three loops (D, anti-codon, and T loops). The record is from RNAcentral. Lineage: Eukaryota; Cryptophyceae; Cryptomonadales; Cryptomonadaceae.